GACGAACGCUGGCGGCGUGCUUAACACAUGCAAGUCGAACGGAAAGGCCCUGCUUUUGUGGGGUGCUCGAGUGGCGAACGGGUGAGUAACACGUGAGUAACCUGCCCUUGACUUUGGGAUAACUUCAGGAAACUGGGGCUAAUACCGGAUAGGAUCUCCUGCUGCAUGGUGGGGGUUGGAAAGUUUCGGCGGUUGGGGAUGGACUCGCGGCUUAUCAGCUUGUUGGUGGGGUAGUGGCUUACCAAGGCUUUGACGGGUAGCCGGCCUGGGAGGGUGACCGGCGACAUUGGGACUGAGAUACGGCGCAGACGCGAACGGGAGGCAGCAGUGGAGAAUAUUACAGAGUGGGCGGGAGCGUGAGGCGGCAAAGCCGCGUGCGGGAUGACGGGCUUCGGGUUGUGAACCACUUUCGCCUGUGACGAAGCGUGAGUGACGGUAAUGGGUAAAGAAGCACCGGCUAACUACGUG
This 468-nucleotide ribosomal RNA is filed under the name uncultured bacterium. Its description in RNAcentral is "partial 16S ribosomal RNA". It matches the Rfam family "Bacterial small subunit ribosomal RNA", at positions 28 to 507 of the family's 1533-position model. The record is from RNAcentral.